CGGGGCGUAGCUCAGCCUGGUAGAGCGCUCGCUUUGGGAGCGAGAAGUCGCUGGUUCGAAUCCAGUCGCCCCGACCA
This 77-nucleotide transfer RNA is filed under the name Acidobacteriota bacterium. Its description in RNAcentral is "Acidobacteria bacterium (bioreactor metagenome) tRNA-Pro". It matches the Rfam family "tRNA". From Rfam's summary of the family: Transfer RNA (tRNA) molecules are approximately 80 nucleotides in length. Their secondary structure includes four short double-helical elements and three loops (D, anti-codon, and T loops). Further hydrogen bonds mediate the characteristic L-shaped molecular structure. tRNAs have two regions of fundamental functional importance: the anti-codon, which is responsible for specific mRNA codon recognition, and the 3' end, to which the tRNAs corresponding amino acid is attached (by aminoacyl-tRNA synthetases). tRNAs cope with the degeneracy of the genetic code in two manners: having more than one tRNA (with a specific anti-codon) for a particular amino acid; and 'wobble' base-pairing, i.e. permitting non-standard base-pairing at the 3rd anti-codon position. The record is from RNAcentral. Lineage: Bacteria; Pseudomonadati; Acidobacteriota. RNAcentral also lists the same sequence under 3 other names.